CCUUAGUAGCUCAGUGGUAGAGCGGUCGGCUGUUAACCGAUUGGUCGUAGGUUCAAGUCCUACCUGGGG
RNAcentral lists this transfer RNA (69 nucleotides) under Roya anglica. RNAcentral describes it as "tRNA-Asn". It matches the Rfam family "tRNA". From Rfam's summary of the family: Transfer RNA (tRNA) molecules are approximately 80 nucleotides in length. Their secondary structure includes four short double-helical elements and three loops (D, anti-codon, and T loops). Further hydrogen bonds mediate the characteristic L-shaped molecular structure. tRNAs have two regions of fundamental functional importance: the anti-codon, which is responsible for specific mRNA codon recognition, and the 3' end, to which the tRNAs corresponding amino acid is attached (by aminoacyl-tRNA synthetases). tRNAs cope with the degeneracy of the genetic code in two manners: having more than one tRNA (with a specific anti-codon) for a particular amino acid; and 'wobble' base-pairing, i.e. permitting non-standard base-pairing at the 3rd anti-codon position. Lineage: Eukaryota; Viridiplantae; Streptophyta; Zygnematophyceae; Zygnematales; Mesotaeniaceae. The record is from RNAcentral.